This 408-nucleotide ribosomal RNA is filed under the name Limnonectes kohchangae (Koh Chang wart frog). RNAcentral's name for it is "partial 16S ribosomal RNA". It matches the Rfam family "Bacterial large subunit ribosomal RNA", at positions 1835 to 2441 of the family's 2925-position model. Lineage: Eukaryota; Metazoa; Chordata; Amphibia; Anura; Dicroglossidae. The record is from RNAcentral.
CUUGAUUCUCAUAAGAGGUCCAGCCUGCCCAGUGACACAAUUAAACGGCCGCGGUACCCUGACCGUGCGAAGGUAGCAUAAUCACUUGUUCUCUAAAUAAGGACUUGUAUCAACGGCAUCACGAGGGUUAUACUGUCUCCCCUUUUUAAUCAGUGAAACUGACCUUCCCGUGAAGAGGCGGGAAUAAAAAUACAAGACGAGAAGACCCCAUGGAGCUUUAAACCCAAUAGCAACCUCUAUUUUCUACAACCGUGUAAUCAAGAAGACCUGCUUAUUGGUUUUAGGUUGGGGUGACCCUGGAGUAAAACUAAGCCUCCAUGACGAAUAGAUUUCAUCCUAAUCCCAGAGCCACUGCUCUAAGAAUCAAAAAUUUGACGUAAACUGAUCCGCUUAUCGAUCAACGAACCA